CAGGGCCAUAAAAACACACCUUCACAACAUGAUGAUUAAAACAGGCAAUUAUGGUCUCCUUAAGAAACCAGCACAGAAAAACCCAUCAGCGAUACUUUGACCUUUAUUAUAGCGAAAGAUGAUGACAUGAGACAUUACAAUAACCCAUCACCGAACAGUCAUUCAGGUAGGUAAACAGUCAUUCAGGUACGUAAACAGUCAUUCAGGUACGUAAACAGUCAUUCAGGUAUGUAAGAUGGACUAUAGCCUUCUAAACUUUAGCUACAGUAUUGUGUCCAAUAAUAAACAAACAAGAUUCAAUGACUUCUCAAGCCGUGAUGCAGUAUAAUUGUAGUACAGAUAUCUGAUCUUAUUUUAAUGUUUCUCUUGCGAAACAACAAUAUAAAGCACUAAGUCAGUUUUAAUGUCGUUGUGAAACCCUGCCCGGUGAAAUACGUCUGGAGGGCUCUAACUAACUACAGUGCUUUAUGUGCUCGGCUCUCAGCCAAGUUAUUUAAUAACCUUUUUCUUGUGGAGACCGGCGAUAUGUCCCCACUUGUCCAAACGUUCCUUGUUUUUACUGCCCUUGUGGAUCAACUGAAGGGCUAGGUUAGGGUUAAGGUUAGGGUUAGGGGUUAAGGGUUAAGGUUAGGGUUAAGGGUUAAGGUUAGGGUUAGGUUUAGGGGAUAAGGUUAGGGGUUAAGGUUAGGGGUUAAGUUUAGGGUUAGGGGUUAAGGUUAAGUUUAGGGGUUAAGUUUAGGGUUAGGUUUAGGGUUAGGGGUUAAGGUUAGGGUUAGGGGUUAGGUUAAGGGUUAGGUUAAGGGUUUAAGGUUAGGGUUAGGGGUUAAGGUUAGGUUAAGGAUUAGGGGUUAAGGUUAGGGUUAAGGUUAGGAGUUAAGGUUAGGGUUAGGUUUAGGGUUAGGGGUUAGGGUUAGGUGUUAAGGUUAGGUUUAGGAUUAGGGGUUCAGGUUAGGUUAGGUUUAGGGUUAGGGUUUAAGGUAACGGGUUAAGGUUAGGGUUAGGGGUUAAGGGAUAGGUUAAAGAGCUAUGGAAAAUAAGGAUUUUGAAUGGUAAUUGUUAAGGAUAGUAUGUGUCCUUGUGGGCAUCAAAAAAGUAUUCAGACCCCUUGACUUCUUCUACAUUUUGUUACGUUACGGUCUUAUUCUAAAAUGGAUUCAAUUGUUUGUUUUCCC
Molecule: long non-coding RNA, 1172 nt
Organism: Oncorhynchus tshawytscha (Chinook salmon)
Lineage: Eukaryota; Metazoa; Chordata; Actinopteri; Salmoniformes; Salmonidae
Source: Ensembl